Long non-coding RNA from Arachis stenosperma, 263 nucleotides. RefSeq lists it as uncharacterized. NCBI's taxonomy places the organism in Eukaryota, Viridiplantae, Streptophyta, Magnoliopsida, Fabales, Fabaceae. The record is from RefSeq and is a predicted model, not a curated record. The transcript is spliced from 3 exons.
CAACCUUUGAUCCACCAUAACUCCUCCGUCUGGGCUCCGAUCGCCGCACCAUUCGUGGCCACGCGCUCAGCGCGUCGAGCUCUACCUUUCUAUCUGAACAAUUUUACUGGUUCAAGUUAGCUUCCAGAACUUGUGGGCUCAAGCUAUUGAGCAUAUAGAUGCAGGUCGAGAGGCUCCUCGCUAGGCGUCUGGAUCUUCAAGCGGAGUAGUCCCUGAGAUGUUUUGGUUUAUCAGUUUAUGUAUUUAUGUACUUAGUUACUAGC